GAUGAACGCUGGCGGCGUGCUUAACACAUGCAAGUCGAACGAAGCACCUUGAUUCGAUUCUUCGGAUGAAGAUCUUGGUGACUGAGUGGCGGACGGGUGAGUAACGCGUGGGUAACCUGCCUCAUACAGGGGGAUAACAGUUAGAAAUGACUGCUAAUACCGCAUAAGACCACAGCACCGCAUGGUGCAGGGGUAAAAACUCCGGUGGUAUGAGAUGGACCCGCGUCUGAUUAGGUAGUUGGUGGGGUAACGGCCUACCAAGCCGACGAUCAGUAGCCGACAUGAGAGGGUGACCGGCCACAUUUGGACUGAGACACGGCCCAAAAUCCUACGGGAGGGAGCAGUGGGGAAUAUUGCACAAUGGGGGAAACCCUGAUGCAGCGACGCCGCGUGAGCGAUGAAGUAGUUCGGUAUGUAAAGCUCUAUCAGCAGGGAAGAAAAUGACGGUACCUGACUAAGAAGCACCGGCUAAAUACGUG
This 479-nucleotide ribosomal RNA is filed under the name uncultured bacterium. RNAcentral's name for it is "partial 16S ribosomal RNA". It matches the Rfam family "Bacterial small subunit ribosomal RNA", at positions 28 to 507 of the family's 1533-position model. The record is from RNAcentral.